This 412-nucleotide ribosomal RNA is filed under the name bacterium enrichment culture clone ALO1_GLFRUDD03G1QP9. RNAcentral describes it as "bacterial SSU rRNA". It matches the Rfam family "Bacterial small subunit ribosomal RNA", at positions 9 to 423 of the family's 1533-position model. The record is from RNAcentral.
GAGUUUGAUCAUGGCUCAGAUUGAACGCUGGCGGCAUGCCUUACACAUGCAAGUCGAACGGCAGCACGGGAGCUUGCUCCUGGUGGCGAGUGGCGAACGGGUGAGUAAUGCGUCGGAACGUAUCCUGGAGUGGGGGAUAACGUAGCGAAAGUUACGCUAAUACCGCAUAUUCUGUGAGCAGGAAAGCGGGGGACCUUCGGGCCUCGCGCUCUUGGAGCGGCCGAUGUCGGAUUAGCUAGUUGGUGAGGUAAAGGCUCACCAAGGCGACGAUCCGUAGCAGGUCUGAGAGGAUGAUCUGCCACACUGGAACUGAGACACGGUCCAGACUCCCUACGGGAGGCAGCAGUGGGGAAUUUGGACAAUGGGGGCAACCCUGAUCCAGCCAUGCCGCGUGAGUGAAGAAGGCCUCGGU